Molecule: ribosomal RNA, 85 nt
Filed under: Disa rosea
Lineage: Eukaryota; Viridiplantae; Streptophyta; Magnoliopsida; Asparagales; Orchidaceae
Description: partial 25S ribosomal RNA
Rfam family: Eukaryotic large subunit ribosomal RNA
Source: RNAcentral
GUGCGACCUCAGGAUGGGCGGGGUGACCCGCUGAGUUUAAGCAUAUCAAUAAGCGGAGGAGAGGAAACUUACGAGGAUUCCCCUA